CCCGGGCCUUGUACACACCGCCCGUCACACCACGAAAGUCGGUAACACCCGAAGCCAGUGGCCCAACCGUAAGGAGGGAGCUGUCGAAGGUGGGAUCGGUGAUUGGGUGG
This 110-nucleotide ribosomal RNA is filed under the name uncultured bacterium. RNAcentral describes it as "partial 16S ribosomal RNA". It matches the Rfam family "Bacterial small subunit ribosomal RNA", at positions 1373 to 1482 of the family's 1533-position model. The record is from RNAcentral.